ACCCUGGCUUGGUGUGGUGAGCCAUGCUGUGCUGUCACGGAGAGAAGGAAGAACGAGGACGAUGGCAGCCUUGUCUGUUGGUGGCUGCUGACCUGCCUGCCUCUCUUGGCCUCAUUGUGACUCACAACCAGAGGCCAGGCUCAUGCCCUUGGAUUUUCAGUCACCAGAAUUGAUUUUGGGCACACACCAAGCUGCUGGGUCCAG
This is a long non-coding RNA of Tupaia belangeri chinensis (Chinese tree shrew), 204 nucleotides long. RefSeq lists it as uncharacterized. NCBI's taxonomy places the organism in Eukaryota, Metazoa, Chordata, Mammalia, Scandentia, Tupaiidae. The record is from RefSeq and is a predicted model, not a curated record. The transcript is spliced from 3 exons.